RNAcentral lists this ribosomal RNA (404 nucleotides) under uncultured bacterium. RNAcentral's name for it is "partial 16S ribosomal RNA". It matches the Rfam family "Bacterial small subunit ribosomal RNA", at positions 30 to 526 of the family's 1533-position model. The record is from RNAcentral.
CUUGAACGCUGGCGGCAGGCCUAACACAUGCAAGUCGAGAGAGCGGCGGACGGGUGAGUAAUGCCUGGGAAUUGCCCAGUCGAGGGGGAUAACAGUUGGAAACGACUGCUAAUACCGCAUACGAUUGGAGUGCUCAGGUGGGAUUAGCUAGUUGGUGAGGUGAUGGCUCACCAAGGCGACGAUCCCUAGCUGGUCUGAGAGUAUGAUCACACAAACUGGAACUGAGAGCCGGUCCAUCCUCUUACGGGAGGCAGCGGGGGGGAAUAUUGCACAGUGGGGGAAACCCGGAGGCAGCAAUGCGAGGUGUGUGAAGAAGGCCUUCGGGUUGUAGGGCUCUUUCAGCGAGGAGGCGUUACUCGCAGACGCAGUACCGGCGAACUCCAUGCCAGCAGCCGCGGUAAUAC